GACGAACGCUGGCGGCGUGCUUAACACAUGCAAGUCGAACGGAAAGACCCUGCUUGCCGGGUACUCGAGUGGCCAACGGGUGGGUAACACGUGGGUGAUCUGCCCUGCACUUCGGCAUGGGCCUGGGAAACUGGGUCUAAUACCGAAUAGGAGCCAUUUUUAGUGGGAUGGUUGGAAAGUUUUUUCGGUGUAGGAUGAGCUCGCGGGGUAUCAGCUUGUUGGUGGGGUAAUGGCGUACCGAGGCGGCGAGGGGUAGCCGGCCUGGGGGAGUGGACGGCCACACUGGGACCGAGAGACGGCCCAGACUCGGAAGGGUGGCAGCAGGGGGGAAUGCUGAACGAGGCGCGCCAGCCUGAUGCAGCGAGGCCGCGUGGUGGAUGACGGCUUUGUGGUGGGAAAAACCUAUCGCUAGGGACGAAGCUUCUUGUGACGGUACCUAGAUAAGAAGCACCGGCUAACUACGUG
This 465-nucleotide ribosomal RNA is filed under the name uncultured bacterium. Its description in RNAcentral is "partial 16S ribosomal RNA". It matches the Rfam family "Bacterial small subunit ribosomal RNA", at positions 28 to 507 of the family's 1533-position model. The record is from RNAcentral.